This 22-nucleotide non-coding RNA is filed under the name Arabidopsis thaliana (thale cress). The record is from RNAcentral. Lineage: Eukaryota; Viridiplantae; Streptophyta; Magnoliopsida; Brassicales; Brassicaceae.
UCAAUGUCCAGGUAGCUAAUUC